Molecule: ribosomal RNA, 358 nt
Filed under: uncultured bacterium
Lineage: Bacteria
Description: bacterial SSU rRNA
Rfam family: Bacterial small subunit ribosomal RNA
Source: RNAcentral
AGAGUUUGAUCCUGGCUCAGGAUGAACGCUGGCGGCGUGCCUAACACAUGCAAGUCGAACGAGGUAAAUAAGAUGAAGUUUUCGGAUGGAUUCUUAUUUACCGAGUGGCGGACGGGUGAGUAACGCGUGGGUAACCUGCCUCAUACAGGGGGAUAACGGUUAGAAAUGACUGCUAAUACCGCAUAAGCGCACAGUACCACAUGGUACAGUGUGAAAAACUCCGGUGGUAUGAGAUGGACCCGCGUCUGAUUAGCUAGUUGGUGAGGUAACGGCCACCAAGGCGACGAUCAGUAGCCGACCUGAGAGGGUGACCGGCACAUUGGGACUGAGACACGGCCCAGGCCUCCUACGGGGAGCA